Molecule: small RNA, 209 nt
Filed under: Beauveria vermiconia
Lineage: Eukaryota; Fungi; Ascomycota; Sordariomycetes; Hypocreales; Cordycipitaceae
Source: RNAcentral
AUUACAACCACUCGACUUCCUCGGGCGCUAGGAGGUCGGCAUUGGGGAUGCGGCAGCACACGGCCGGCCCUGCCAUGGAGUGGCGGCCCGUCCGCGGCGACCUCUGCGUAGUAUCCAACUCGCACUGGAACCCCGACGUGGCCACGCCGUAUUACACCCAACUUCUGAACGUUGACCUCGAAUCAGGUAGGACUACCCGCUGAACUUAA